RNAcentral lists this long non-coding RNA (201 nucleotides) under Helianthus annuus (common sunflower). It matches the Rfam family "Eukaryotic small subunit ribosomal RNA", at positions 992 to 1189 of the family's 1831-position model. Lineage: Eukaryota; Viridiplantae; Streptophyta; Magnoliopsida; Asterales; Asteraceae. The record is from RNAcentral.
GGGGGCUCGAGACGAUCAGAUACCGUCCUAGUCUCAAACCAUAGAACGAAUGCCGACCAGGGAUCAGCGAUGUUUGCUUUUAAGGACUCCGCUGGCACCUUAAUGAGAAAUCAAAGUUUUUGGUUCGGGGGGAGUAUGGUCGUCAAGGCUGAAACUUAAGGAAUUGACGGAAGGGCACCACCAGGGAUGGAAGCCUGCGGC